Molecule: transfer RNA, 71 nt
Filed under: Loxodonta africana (African savanna elephant)
Lineage: Eukaryota; Metazoa; Chordata; Mammalia; Proboscidea; Elephantidae
Rfam family: tRNA
About the family: Transfer RNA (tRNA) molecules are approximately 80 nucleotides in length. Their secondary structure includes four short double-helical elements and three loops (D, anti-codon, and T loops).
Source: Rfam by way of RNAcentral
GCAUUGGUGGUUCGAUGGUAGAAUUCUCACCUUCCGUGUGGAAGACCCAGGUUUGAUUCCCAGCCAAUGUA